AAAGGAAGGUACAUCUGAUAUUUCAAUUCUCAACAAAAGCUUCUGUAUUUAAAAGUUUUCCAGUAUUCCUUUAAAUUCUACUCUUAGUAGGUUAGUGUUUGUGCCAAAAAAGUGAGAUCCGUGUAACUUUUGUUCAACCAUUACUAGUUUGAAAUUAGGAUUAGGUAUCACCUUGGUCUUUUGGGCAUUUAAAUUGAGAAAUUUCUCUCUUUUUUUUUUU
This 220-nucleotide unclassified non-coding RNA is filed under the name Hevea brasiliensis (rubber tree). Lineage: Eukaryota; Viridiplantae; Streptophyta; Magnoliopsida; Malpighiales; Euphorbiaceae. The record is from RNAcentral.